Long non-coding RNA from Eucalyptus grandis, 655 nucleotides. RefSeq lists it as uncharacterized. NCBI's taxonomy places the organism in Eukaryota, Viridiplantae, Streptophyta, Magnoliopsida, Myrtales, Myrtaceae. The transcript is spliced from 3 exons. The record is from RefSeq and is a predicted model, not a curated record.
CAUUGCGGUGAGAGGGCGCGGCUCUGCUUGUCUCUUUGGAUACAUUCGAUAAAAUUGCAAAAAGGACGCGUAGAGCCAGAUAAACCGGUCUCGUCCUCAACCUUAUCGGCAUUUACGUGUUUACAGGUCUGCAGGGAUCCGCGAUGGGGUCGGUGCUACGAGAGCUACAGCGAAGAUCCCAAGAUCGUUCAGGCCAUGACCGAGAUUGUCCCCGGAUUGCAAGGUGAUCUUCCUGCUGGUUCUCGGAAGGGUGUCCCCUACGUCGCCGGAAAGAAAAUGUGGCUGCAUGCGCAAAGCAUUACGUUGGCGAUGGUGGAACGACCAAUGGCGUCAAUGAGAAUAACACUGUAACCGAUUGGCACGGCUUGCUUAGCAUCCAUAUGCCGGGUUACUACACUUCAAUCAUCAAGGGUGUCUCAACCGUCAUGGUUUCUUACUCUAGCUGGAAUGGAGUCAAGAUGCAUGCUAAUGGCAACCUAGUCACAGGCUUCCUUAAAAACAAGCUCCGUUUCAGAGGGUUUGUCAUAUCAGAUUGGGAAGGUAUUGACAGGAUCACCUCUCCCCCCCAUGCUAACUAUUCCUACUCCAUUCAAGCAGGAAUUAGUGCGGGCAUUGACAUGGUUGGUGAUUGAUUAUACACUAUGCUGUAUGAGAC